Long non-coding RNA from Ornithorhynchus anatinus (platypus), 1762 nucleotides. RefSeq lists it as uncharacterized. The transcript has 3 exons. NCBI's taxonomy places the organism in Eukaryota, Metazoa, Chordata, Mammalia, Monotremata, Ornithorhynchidae. The record is from RefSeq and is a predicted model, not a curated record.
AAGGGCAGCGUGGGUGUUUGUGGGUGUGUGUGCGUGCACAUUUGCCCAUGUGUUUCUAGCGCAGAGCUCUCUGUGUGUUUGUGAGUGUGCAUGUGUGCAUACCUGGUUCGGGGCAGCAUCUGUAGCAAACGGGAAGUGGUUCACGCCUCCUCCAGCCCUCCGAUGCCUGUAGGUUUUGGCCCGCUGCUGGCGGAUGGAGGGCUUGAGGUUUGGCUCCCUGUGGCUUUCUGCCCCAGAGCCAACCCCACCAACUCCACGGGCAACAGGAGGAGGAGAAAGGGUCCCCUGAGGGUGGUGGAGGUCCAGACUUUUGCUAAUUCUAAUUCGGUAGGAUGAAUCCACAAAAGUUUCCUGAAUUUCCCCAGGUCACCCGUGUCGGCAGGGGUUUGUUUUUUCUACUCAUCAGCGAAAGUAGGGACAGCAUUUGAUUUUUUUCCCCCCACCCCUCCAUCUUCCCCAGGAGGCAGGGGGCUUUUAGAAGACGUAGAAAAAUCUGUUUGGUGUUUAGUUUUGGGUUUCAAAUUUCAUAACAAACGAGAAAAGCUGAAAGCAGUUGGGAAUAUUUGGCCGGGAGAAGAGAAGGCAGGUGGCUGACUUGAUAAUUAUUCAUUCAAUUAUUUCCCUUAUUAAGGAGCUGAAAUCCCCCUGCCGAUGGGAAGGGCGGGGAUCCGGAUGCCGGGGUCCUGGAGCCACAACCCCGCCAGCUACUUCCGUGAGGGGUGGGGGCCGCGUGAAUUCGAUAACAAAUUCAGAUUCCAACUCAGCAGCGUGGAUCGGGACGUGUGCUUCUGAGAUUGGCUGACUCAAGGUGGGAAGAAACAACCUGCAAACCUGUUUGCCUCUGGCAACUUAAAGUACCCGUGCAGCCCCUUCAACUGUUUUUCCUCCAAGAAAUGGCCAGUGGGGUUGCAGAAACCAGUUCUCCGCACAGCUGCUUUCUCCUUUUUUCUCGUUUGACAAUCGACGGAAUAUUUGUUUCUUUCAGAGGAUCUCGGAGCAGGAGCAGGUUGAGGGGCAAAACCUGGGACUCUGGAAGAGCAUGAACUCCAGGAAUUGUUGGUCUCUGAACAUGGAGUUGGCAUUAUUCGUUCUGAGUGCUCCCACGCUCUCAGGACAGUGCUCGGCCCCCAUCGGGUGUUCAGAAAUACCCCAAAUAGAUGGGCCAAGUCCAGUGCUCUCUAUACACAGAAGGCACUUUUUAAAUGCUUUUGUUCCAAGGGUUGAUUAGCUUCCCCCAAACCCGUCUUGUCUGAGGAGAGACUGCAGAGGCAGCAAGGCCAGCGCACCUUUUAUCGGAAGGAGCAGGUGGCAAAAAAAUACCGGCGGGCUCGGGCCAAGAAGCGGACGAUUUUUGCCUUCUGAACGGAGAGUCCGCAUCUCCAAAAUCGAGAGGCGGCGCGCCCCAGGUGGGACAAGACCCGCGCCGGAUCCGAUGAUCGCGUACGUAACCCAGCAGCCAAGUACAGAGGUUGGCCCCCGAGAAGCACCUGAAGAAUUCCAUUUUAUUAUUUAUUGUUUGGGAUGACGACCGAACCUCUGCUACCGCCGGUCGAAUGCCCCUUAGGUCGUGCCAGAAACCGAGUUUUGAAACUUGGUUUUUCUGUGAGACCCCCCAUCGUCACGGAACGAGACUGGCAUCGUAGCGCGCCGUGUACCCUUGUACCCGUGUACCCACGGCAUCCUGGCCUGUCGUGGCUCAGUGGAAAGAGCCAGGGCUUGGGAGUCAGAGGUCAUGGGUUCAAAUCCUGGCUCUGCCACUUGU